Molecule: ribosomal RNA, 459 nt
Filed under: uncultured Acidimicrobiales bacterium
Lineage: Bacteria; Bacillati; Actinomycetota; Acidimicrobiia; Acidimicrobiales
Description: bacterial SSU rRNA
Rfam family: Bacterial small subunit ribosomal RNA
Source: RNAcentral
GACGAACGCUGGCGGCGUGCCUAAUACAUGCAAGUCGAACGAGGCCGACCUUCGGGUCAAUGGUCGAGUGGCGAACGGGUGAGUAACACGUGAGAAACCUGCCCCGAACUCUGGGACAACCACUGGAAACGGUGGCUAAUACCGGAUACCGUCUUCUGGUCGCAUGGCCGGAUGACGAAAGCUCCGGCGGUUCGGGAGGGUCUCGCGGCCUAUCAGUUUGUUGGUGGGGUAAUGGCCUACCAAGACAUCGACGGGUAGCUGGUCUGAGAGGACGAUCAGCCACACUGGGACUGAGACACGGCCCAGACUCCUACGGGAGGCAGCAGUAGGGAAUCUUGCGCAAUGGGGGAAACCCUGACGCAGCAACGCCGCGUGCGGGAUGAAGGCUCUCGGGUUGUAAACCGCUUUCAGCAGGGACGAAAAUGACGGUACCUGCAGAAGAAGCCCCGGCCAACUACG